Molecule: small nuclear RNA, 129 nt
Organism: Lepisosteus oculatus (spotted gar)
Lineage: Eukaryota; Metazoa; Chordata; Actinopteri; Semionotiformes; Lepisosteidae
Gene: RNU4ATAC16P
Product: RNA, U4atac small nuclear 16, pseudogene
Source: Ensembl
ACUAUCCUUGUCUUGGGGUGGCGCGGCUACUCAAUGAGCGUCUAGCGAGAGCAGCUCUGCUAACACCAUACCAACACAUUCGCAUCACCUGGACAAUCUUGCCCAGGCAAUGGUGCAAUUUUUGGAACC